AUAAAAGGCAAUACAUCAGAACAUUUUCUCUGUAAACCCUAAACUACAAACGCCGCUUUCAUUCUUUUCAUCUAUCUUUGUGUUUUCUCCUCUCCAUUGAAGCCGCUUCGAUUCUUUGAGGUAUCCUGCAAUCCUCAACUCGAACCCUAAUUGGUGGUCCAAUUGCUUUUAUUGUUAAUUGUAUGUUAUUAUGAAUUUGGGUUUUGUUGUUUUUUUGAACAAUGGGUUUUGAUAAGAAGAGAGCGACAGACAGAGGUGGUGUCGCAGACAUGGCGACGACCUUUCUGCUCAACUUGCUAGGGUUCCGACACUAUGUUCAUGAGUUCCUUCACUUUGAAGUUUAAGAUCUCUCACUACGUGAAGUUCAUCUGCCCCUCAAUUUUUAGUUUUCUAGCAUGUAAGUGUUUAUGUUUUUGCAGAACAGGGUUUUGUUCUUUAUGUUGUCACAAUUGUCGUUUGUUCUGUGAAUAGCAAACUUGAAACCCUAAUUCGAAGGAUGCUGGAAGAGGAAGAGAUGUCAGUCCCACAUUUUGAGUUUGCUGCUGGUGAAGGAUCUUAACCAGUGGAAGAUCGACAUCAGGGAUAAGCCUGAAUUAAAGAAGCUUUUUGCCUCCACAAAGUAAACUUACUCAUUGCUAAUAUUCUUGGUGUAUCUUUUGGCAAUAGGGUAAUUAUAACGCAUAUAAACAAGUGGGAAUCCGUAUUAGUUUUGAUUGGUACGCAGGUUUGAUGCUGUUAUACAUUUGGCUGGAUUGAAGGCUGUUGGCGAAAGUGUGCAGAAGCCAUUGAAGUAUUACGACAAAGUUCCCGUCUUGGCUCCGAAUACUCCCCGACCACUGAACCAUUUCAGCUUUAUCUACCCUUUACAUCCGAAAGCACUGGUGCAAUUCUACAUGAGUUACCAUAGCUUAAUACUUCUGAUACAUGGGCUACACGGCAGACUCUACGUCACAUUGGGUAGAAGCAUUGCAUGAAGUUUCUGGUCGUCGGCAGAAGACAGAGGAAGCUUCUAUGACUACAAAACGAUUAAAGAGUUACUCGAAUCGCGAAAAGCUUCUUCACAGUAUACAUUCGGAAAUAGCGAUGGUUCAGGAAGCAUGUCGACAUUAAAAAGUUGCAUUUUUGCAAAGAAACACAUAACAACUAUUAUCACAACCCUCCAUCGUCUUACUAUGCUUGGUUUGUGCUUGAAUCAUGUCUUUCUUUAAAAGAUGUUCUGAUGCAAAGUCUGAUUAUUAUACAAUUAGCCUACAAGUUGUUAGAGGUAUACUCCACUUUAACUAUGAUAGUAUCUGCCAUAGAAGAACUGCAAGGAAUGACUUUAAAACGACAAUGAAAAGAGGCUUCUCCACAAUUGGAGGAAAAAGUGACACUCUAUUGCUACUCCAUUGAUCUUUAGAAGAUGGUUCCAUGGUCAUGGUUGUUAGAAAAAGUAAACAUUUUACUGUGUAAGUCAUGUCUCACUUAACUGUUUUUAAUGUGUUAUCAUUGUUUCGCUUAGGAUUAUGAUGAUUUAAGUCAUUUUAUUUUUGAGUUGAACCAUA
This is a long non-coding RNA of Helianthus annuus (common sunflower), 1544 nucleotides long. RefSeq lists it as uncharacterized. The record is from RefSeq and is a predicted model, not a curated record. The transcript has 8 exons. NCBI's taxonomy places the organism in Eukaryota, Viridiplantae, Streptophyta, Magnoliopsida, Asterales, Asteraceae.